AAAACAUCGUUGUUAUUCAACUACAAGAAC
Molecule: transfer RNA, 30 nt
Filed under: Acanthurus monroviae (Monrovia doctorfish)
Lineage: Eukaryota; Metazoa; Chordata; Actinopteri; Acanthuriformes; Acanthuridae
Description: partial tRNA-Gln
Source: RNAcentral